RNAcentral lists this ribosomal RNA (459 nucleotides) under uncultured bacterium. RNAcentral's name for it is "partial 16S ribosomal RNA". It matches the Rfam family "Bacterial small subunit ribosomal RNA", at positions 338 to 795 of the family's 1533-position model. The record is from RNAcentral.
CCUACGGGUGGCAGCAGUGAGGAAUAUUGGUCAAUGGUCGGAAGGCUGAACCAGCCAAGCCGCGUGAAGGAUGAAGGUGCCAAGCAUUGUAAACUUCUUUUGUCAGGGGACAAAAUCAGGCUCGAGAGCCUGUAUGAGGGUACCUGAAGAAAAAGCAUCGGCUAACUCCGUGCCAGCAGCCGCGGUAAUACGGAGGAUGCGAGCGUUAUCCGGAUUUAUUGGGUUUAAAGGGUGCGUAGGCGGAAUGUUAAGUCAGCGGUAAAAGUCCGGGGCUCAACCCCGGCGCGCCGUGGAAACUGGUGUUCUUGAGUGGGAGAGAAGUAUGCGGAAUGCGUGGUGUAGCGGUGAAAUGCAUAGAUAUCGCGCAGAACUCCGAUUGCGAAGGCAGCAUACCGGCGCCAUACUGACGCUGAGGCACGAAAGUGCGGGUAUCGAACAGGAUUAGAUACCCUUGUAGUC